Molecule: ribosomal RNA, 253 nt
Filed under: uncultured prokaryote
Description: partial 16S ribosomal RNA
Rfam family: Bacterial small subunit ribosomal RNA
Source: RNAcentral
ACGGAGGGUGCGAGCGUUGUUCGGAAUCACUGGGCGUAAAGGGAGCGUAGGCGGCGUGGUAAGUCAGAUGUGAAAUCCCGGGGCUCAACCCCGGAACUGCAUCCGAUACUGCCAUGCUUGAGGGUUGGAGAGGUAGCUGGAAUUCCCGGUGUAGCGGUGAAAUGCGUAGGUAUCGGGAGGAACACCUGUGGCGAAAGCGGCGCACUGGACCACAACUGACGCUGAGGCGCGAAAGCUAGGGGAGCAAACAGGA